Selaginella moellendorffii is the source of this 1210-nucleotide RNA transcript. It is a transcript of the gene named glutathione S-transferase 2, with no coding region annotated. The record is from RefSeq and is a predicted model, not a curated record. NCBI's taxonomy places the organism in Eukaryota, Viridiplantae, Streptophyta, Lycopodiopsida, Selaginellales, Selaginellaceae. The transcript has 11 exons.
AUCUAGGAUUUUGUGGAGGGAGAUGAGGCUCUACACGUUUUGGGGGAGCUCUUGUGCUUGGCGAGUGAGGCUGGCGCUCGCAUUGAAAGGGAUUCCAUACGAGUACCAGGCUGUGGGUUUCGCAAAUGGUCUGCUCGACGAUGAGUUUUCGAAGAUCAAUCCCUUGAGUAUGGUGCCUGCACUAGAAACCGAAGAAGAUGGACUUUUGAUUGACUCUGUAGCAAUUGUGGAGUAUUUGGAAGAAAAAUACCCAGAGAAGCCACUCCUGCCUAAAAACUUGAAGCAGCGAGCGACAAUUCGCCAGAUUGUCAAUCUCAUCGCGUCAAAUAUUCAGCCUCUGCAAAAUGGAGGCCGCGUUCUGAAUAUGAUCAAGGAGAAACUUGGCGACGAGGAGACACUCAAGUGGGCGCAACACUGGAUUGUCAUUGGUUUCAACGCUCUCGAGGAGAUCGUGAAGAAGACAUCGGGAAAAUACUGCUUUGGAGACACACUCACCCUCGCUGAUGUAUUUGUCAUCCCACAGAUCGGCAACGCGGAGCGUUACAAGGUCGAUAUGACGCCAUAUCCAACACUCCGGAGGCUCAAGGAGGAGCUUCACAAGCUGGAAGAAGUGCGGCAGUCGGUUCCACGACUCCAGCCGGAUUUUCCGACGGAAUAGCUUGCGAAAGCAUCCAAUAAAACUUCUGGCUCAAUAAGUUCUCCAAGCUUACACUUAGUUGUCCAUCUAGGCAGAGUUACUCGUCCAAGAGCUGAAGGAAGCUCGACUUUGUCACAGACAGUCCUGGUAAAUAGUUUGAUAUCCUUUUCUGACUUGAGCUCUUGGAAGUAUUGCAGCCAUAUACUCUUCAGGAUUUGUGAUCUGAAGAAAGCGGUGAGCAAUCGUGACAUGAGUUUCAUGCUCGAUCGUGAAGCCAAACUUCCUGGAGAGGAAAAGCCCCGGGAGAUACUUGCGUAGCGGGAAGCAGCGCACCGGCAGUGGCAAAUCUAGGCACGGAAAUCUACUGAUAGCGUACGAGGGGUGGGAAGUCUUGCAUUGUCCAGCAGCAUUGAUGCAAGCUCUAGUUUUAGAGACUGAGAAAAAGGACGAUGAAAAGGCUUCGCGCGCUUCGCUAGCAGCAGCAGCAGCAGCAGCCAGCAGCAGCACUAGUUUUGGUUUGGCGCGUUUUGCACAGUGGCCAAUGGUACUUCGCAACAAAAUCGAUUUUUUUUU